CAGUAGCCGCGGUAACACAGAGGGUGCGAGCGUUAAUCGGAUUUACUGGGCGUAAAGCGUGCGUAGGCGGCUUCUUAAGUCGGAUGUGAAAUCCCUGAGCUUAACUUAGGAAUUGCAUUCGAUACUGGGAAGCUAGAGUAUGGGAGAGGAUGGUAGAAUUCCAGGUGUAGCGGUGAAAUGCGUAGAGAUCUGGAGGAAUACCGAUGGCGAAGGCAGCCAUCUGGCCUAAUACUGACGCUGAGGUACGAAAGCAUGGGGAGCAAACAGGAUUAGAUACCCCUGUAGUCCCUGUCUCUUAUAC
RNAcentral lists this ribosomal RNA (301 nucleotides) under uncultured bacterium. RNAcentral's name for it is "partial 16S ribosomal RNA". It matches the Rfam family "Bacterial small subunit ribosomal RNA", at positions 509 to 807 of the family's 1533-position model. The record is from RNAcentral.